GUGGGGAUGGCAGAGCCUGGUCAAAUGCGCAGGACUUAAGAUCCUGUGCCGUAGUGGCUACGUGGGUUCAAAUCCCACUCCCCACA
This 86-nucleotide transfer RNA is filed under the name Microcaldota archaeon. RNAcentral's name for it is "Candidatus Micrarchaeota archaeon (hot springs metagenome) tRNA-Leu". It matches the Rfam family "tRNA". Rfam says of the family: Transfer RNA (tRNA) molecules are approximately 80 nucleotides in length. RNAcentral also lists the same sequence under 1 other name. Lineage: Archaea; Nanobdellati; Microcaldota. The record is from RNAcentral.